AGCGAACGCUGGCGGCAGGCUUAACACAUGCAAGUCGAACGCAUCCUUCGGGGAGAGUGGCAGACGGGUGAGUAACACGUGGGAACGUACCUCUUUGUUCGGAAUAGCUUUUGGAAACGAAAGGUAAUACCGGAUACGCCCUUUUGGGGAAAGAUUUAUCGCAGAGAGAUCGGCCCGCGUCUGAUUAGCUAGUUGGUGAGGUAAUGGCUCACCAAGGCGACGAUCGGUAGCUGGUCUGAGAGGAUGAUCAGCCACACUGGGACUGAGACACGGCCCAGACUCCUACGGGAGGCAGCAGUGGGGAAUAUUGGACAAUGGGCGCAAGCCUGAUUCAGCCAUGCCGCGUGAGUGAUGAAGGCCUUAGGGUUGUAAAGCUCUUUUGUCCGGGAAGAUAAUGACUGUACCGGAAGAAUAAGCCCCGGCUAACUUCGUGCCAGCCGCCGCAGUAA
RNAcentral lists this ribosomal RNA (449 nucleotides) under uncultured bacterium. RNAcentral describes it as "partial 16S ribosomal RNA". It matches the Rfam family "Bacterial small subunit ribosomal RNA", at positions 29 to 523 of the family's 1533-position model. The record is from RNAcentral.